Molecule: non-coding RNA, 72 nt
Organism: Sitodiplosis mosellana (orange wheat blossom midge)
Lineage: Eukaryota; Metazoa; Arthropoda; Insecta; Diptera; Cecidomyiidae
Source: the annotation of a RefSeq genome assembly
GGGGAUGUAACUCAGAGGUAGAGUGCUCGCUUCGCAUGCGAGUGGUCCGGAGUUCGACUCUCCGCAUCUCCA